GGCAGACAAGCCUGAGAGCCAGGACAGAGCCCUCCAGAAGUCAGCAGCACCCUGUGGGAGGGAGAAGGCUGUGGUGUGCAGUCGCCCUCUGCCAUUCCGGCCGCUUCCCGUGCCUUGGAUGACCCCAGCUCUGUUGUGCCUCAAGAUGAACCUCGUUGAGCAAUCCCAGCUCUCUUUCACCCUGCUGUUAAUGUUUCACUUCUCAGCAGCAGUCCUUUGGCCACCAAUAAAAUAGUUAAUCUUCCGUUUA
Catharus ustulatus (Swainson's thrush) is the source of this 250-nucleotide long non-coding RNA. RefSeq lists it as uncharacterized. NCBI's taxonomy places the organism in Eukaryota, Metazoa, Chordata, Aves, Passeriformes, Turdidae. The transcript has 2 exons. The record is from RefSeq and is a predicted model, not a curated record.